GACGAACGCUGGCGGCGUGCUUAACACAUGCAAGUCGAACGGAAAGGCCCUGCUUUUGUGGGGUGCUCGAGUGGCGAACGGGUGAGUAACACGUGAGUAACCUGCCCUUGACUUUGGGAUAACUUCAGGAAACUGGGGCUAAUACCGGAUAGGAGCUCCUGCUGCAUGGUGGGGGUUGGAAAGUUUCGGCGGUUGGGGAUGGACUCGCGGCUUAUCAGCUUGUUGGUGUGGUAGUGGCUUACCAAGGCUUUGACGGGUAGCCGGCCUGAGAGGGUGACCGGCCACAUUGGGACUGAGAUACGCACCAGACUCCUACGGGAGGCAGCAGUGGGGAAUAUUGCACAAUGGGCGGAAGCCUGAUGCAGCAACGCCGCGUGCGGGAUGACGGCCUUCGGGUUGUAAACCGCUUUCGCCUGUGACGAAGCGUGAGUGACGGUAAUGGGUAAAGAAGCACCGGCUAACUACGUG
This 468-nucleotide ribosomal RNA is filed under the name uncultured bacterium. RNAcentral describes it as "partial 16S ribosomal RNA". It matches the Rfam family "Bacterial small subunit ribosomal RNA", at positions 28 to 507 of the family's 1533-position model. The record is from RNAcentral.